This 255-nucleotide ribosomal RNA is filed under the name Salmonella enterica subsp. enterica serovar Montevideo. RNAcentral describes it as "partial 16S ribosomal RNA". It matches the Rfam family "Bacterial small subunit ribosomal RNA", at positions 1000 to 1255 of the family's 1533-position model. Lineage: Bacteria; Pseudomonadati; Pseudomonadota; Gammaproteobacteria; Enterobacterales; Enterobacteriaceae. The record is from RNAcentral.
CCAGAGAUGGAUUGGUGCCUUCGGGAACUGUGAGACAGGUGCUGCAUGGCUGUCGUCAGCUCGUGUUGUGAAAUGUUGGGUUAAGUCCCGCAACGAGCGCAACCCUUAUCCUUUGUUGCCAGCGAUUAGGUCGGGAACUCAAAGGAGACUGCCAGUGAUAAACUGGAGGAAGGUGGGGAUGACGUCAAGUCAUCAUGGCCCUUACGACCAGGGCUACACACGUGCUACAAUGGCGCAUACAAAGAGAAGCGACCU